RNAcentral lists this ribosomal RNA (466 nucleotides) under uncultured bacterium. RNAcentral's name for it is "partial 16S ribosomal RNA". It matches the Rfam family "Bacterial small subunit ribosomal RNA", at positions 28 to 507 of the family's 1533-position model. The record is from RNAcentral.
GAUGAACGCUGGCGGCGUGCUUAACACAUGCAAGUCGAACGAUGAAGCCCAGCUUGCUGGGUGGAUUCGUGGCGAACGGGUGAGUAACACGUGAGUAACCUGCCCUUAACUCUGGGAUAAGCCUGGGAAACUGGGUCUAAUACCGGAUAGGAGCGUCCACCGCAUGGUGGGUGUUGGAAAGAUUUAUCGGUUUUGGAUGGACUCGCGGCCUAUCAGCUUGUUGGUGAGGUAAUGGCUCACCAAGGCGACGACGGGUAGCCGGCCUGAGAGGGUGACCGGCCACACUGGGACUGAGACACGGCCCAGACUCCUACGGGAGGCAGCAGUGGGGAAUAUUGCACAAUGGGCGCAAGCCUGAUGCAGCGACGCCGCGUGAGGGAUGACGGCCUUCGGGUUGUAAACCUCUUUCAGUAGGGAAGAAGCGAAAGUGACGGUACCUGCAGAAGAAGCACCGGCUAACUACGUG